Molecule: long non-coding RNA, 713 nt
Organism: Carassius auratus (goldfish)
Lineage: Eukaryota; Metazoa; Chordata; Actinopteri; Cypriniformes; Cyprinidae
Exons: 3
Source: RefSeq, a predicted model, not a curated record
UGGUUUUCCUUUCCACCAAUGAGUAUAUAAACACCCCUGAGAUGAUCCAAGAGUCUGUUCUGAAGAAACAUCUCAUCAUCUGUGACCUCAGGUACUCAAGUCUAAGAAGACUAUUACUUUGCUCCUGAGAGAUUGUUUGAUAGAGGAAUCCCGUGACCUCAUGGAUUUCUUCAAAGCGGUGGGCGCGGUGGCAGCGGGUGUAGCCGAAGGAACGGUGGGCGUGGUCAGAGCCGUGGUGGACGUCCCGGUCGGGAUGGUGAAAGGAGCUGCAGACAGCAUCAAAGAAGCCAGCAGCAAAAUUGACAGCGCCAGCUCGCCCGGUGAAGGGGUGGACGCUGUUUUCAGUCUGCUGACGUCUCCACUGACCGGCGCGGUGGCCGGAGGCACGAAAGAGAUCGUCAAGGCACCAGGAAAAGUUGUGCAGAGUGUUGCAGAUGGCAUCGAGAAAGUUUUAGACGACUAAGUAGUGUGAGAGUUUAUGCUUUUUUAUAAUAAUCCUUGAACACUCAUCAUGCAAAAACUUUUAUUUUAGACCAAAAAUUAUUAGAAAAUUUUAUGUAUAUGAAGUAGACAAUAUUUUAUAAAUUCACUGGUAAUAAUGUUCUCACAGUGUCUACAAAUUACAUUAAAUAAUUGUAGGCUAUCAUAAAUCAGCACUGAUUGUUUUUAGAUUUGUGACAAUUAUGCUAAUUAAACUUCAACAAUGUAAAAAA